This 73-nucleotide transfer RNA is filed under the name Felis catus (domestic cat). It matches the Rfam family "tRNA". From Rfam's summary of the family: Transfer RNA (tRNA) molecules are approximately 80 nucleotides in length. Their secondary structure includes four short double-helical elements and three loops (D, anti-codon, and T loops). RNAcentral also lists the same sequence under 3 other names. Lineage: Eukaryota; Metazoa; Chordata; Mammalia; Carnivora; Felidae. The record is from Rfam by way of RNAcentral.
GCCUGGCUGGCUCAGUUGGUAGAGCAUGCAACUCUUGAUCUUGGGGGUGUGAGUUCAAGUCCCACGUUGGGUG